RNAcentral lists this ribosomal RNA (253 nucleotides) under uncultured bacterium. RNAcentral's name for it is "partial 16S ribosomal RNA". It matches the Rfam family "Bacterial small subunit ribosomal RNA", at positions 524 to 776 of the family's 1533-position model. The record is from RNAcentral.
UACGAAGGGGGCUAGCGUUGUUCGGAAUCACUGGGCGUAAAGGGCGCGUAGGCGGCCGAUCAAGUCGGGGGUGAAAGCCUGUGGCUCAACCACAGAAUUGCCUUCGAUACUGUUUGGCUUGAGACCGGAAGAGGUUAGUGGAACUGCGAGUGUAGAGGUGAAAUUCGUAGAUAUUCGCAAGAACACCAGUGGCGAAGGCGGCUCACUGGCCCGAUACUGACGCUGAGGUGCGAAAGCGUGGGGAGCAAACAGG